GAGAAUAAUACUAUCAAACUUCAAACAAAAUUACAAACUCCUUCAUUCUCAACAUUCUCUCUUCAAAUUAAACCUUCUUCUUCAUCACCUUCCUCAUCAACCUUUCCCUCAUCCUUACCUUCCUUCUCUCCCAAACAUGUGCUUCUAAUAAUAUAUAAUUUAUAUCUAUUGCAAAACUCGAGUCAAUUGAUUGCUAUAAUCCAUAUACUUUCAAAAUGACUCUAUUCGUUAACGAUCAUCAUGCUAAGCAGCUACCUCAGCCUUCAACUUACAAAGGACGUCAUUGUAUAAUCAUCGUCUAGGAGGAUGAUGGAUCAAAAAGACCAAAAUCAAGUAAAAGGAGAAGAAAUGGCAGUUUAACAAAAUGAGAAUGCAUGAUCUCACACAAUGCAUUUUCUUUUGAUUUUAUUGCUAUAUAUGCUUCUCUUUUAAUAUAUAAUAUAUAUGCUCAUCAUGGAAAAAACAAAUCCAACGUUGGUUGUACUUGGAGGAGUUCCCCUUCACCAUACUUCAGAAGAAUUUCUUCUUUUCUUUUACAGUGCACAUUUGCAUGGGAAGUUUUAUAAGACAAAGUUAUAAUGAAUCUUAGGGUUUCCACUUGAUGUUAAAGUUUGGCCAUGCAGUCAUAGUUCGUGUUAUAUUAUUAUUUCAAAUGUUGCUUCAUUUGGGUUAUUAUUAGUUUAUUGUACAAUGUUGAUCUUGUUAAUUUUUUUAAGGAUUAUUUAUUUUGUGGUACAAGAAUAGAGAAUAUGAAUUGCCCUUUUUUUA
This is a long non-coding RNA of Cucumis melo (muskmelon), 768 nucleotides long. RefSeq lists it as uncharacterized. The transcript has 2 exons. The record is from RefSeq and is a predicted model, not a curated record. Lineage: Eukaryota; Viridiplantae; Streptophyta; Magnoliopsida; Cucurbitales; Cucurbitaceae.